Long non-coding RNA from Ceratina calcarata, 296 nucleotides. RefSeq lists it as uncharacterized. The transcript is spliced from 2 exons. The record is from RefSeq and is a predicted model, not a curated record. NCBI's taxonomy places the organism in Eukaryota, Metazoa, Arthropoda, Insecta, Hymenoptera, Apidae.
AUUGGCAGAAGUAUAAAAAUUAGCUAAUAGAAAUGUAUUACAUCAAUACCUCAGUUUGCGUCGUGGUUACGUUCCAAAAAAACACGACGCAAAUUGAAACGACGCAAAGUGAAUUAAAAUUUUCUAUAGGAAACCAUGUAAAGAUCGAAGAUAGGUUCCAGGGUUACGAAAAUACUACUUUUUAAAAAGAAAAUUGAACAAAGUAGAUACAUUACAACACACUACUUAGAAAGGGAAUCCCCGUGUUUUGAUGGCAUGGCACAAUUAGAAACAAAAGUGUUGCCAUUUUUCAGAAA